RNAcentral lists this transfer RNA (73 nucleotides) under Caudoviricetes sp. Its description in RNAcentral is "tRNA-OTHER". It matches the Rfam family "tRNA". Rfam says of the family: Transfer RNA (tRNA) molecules are approximately 80 nucleotides in length. Their secondary structure includes four short double-helical elements and three loops (D, anti-codon, and T loops). The record is from RNAcentral. Lineage: Duplodnaviria; Heunggongvirae; Uroviricota; Caudoviricetes.
GAAUGUGUAGCUCAAUUGGAUAGAGCACUGGUUAGGUCGCCAGAGGUUGACAGUUCGAAUCUGUCCACAUUUA